GACGAACGCUGGCGGCGUGCCUAAUACAUGCAAGUUGAGCGCUGAAGGUUGGUACUUGUACCAACUGGAUGAGCAGCGAACGGGUGAGUAACGCGUGGGGAAUCUGCCUUUGAGCGGGGGACAACAUUUGGAAACGAAUGCUAAUACCGCAUAAAAACUUUAAACACAAGUUUUAAGUUUGAAAGAUGCAAAUGCAUCACUCAAAGAUGAUCCCGCGUUGUAUUAGCUAGUUGGUGAGGUAAAGGCUCACCAAGGCGAUGAUACAUAGCCGACCUGAGAGGGUGAUCGGCCACAUUGGGACUGAGACACGGCCCAAACUCCUACGGGAGGCAGCAGUAGGGAAUCUUCGGCUAUGGACGAAAGUCUGACCGAGCAACGCCGCGUGAGUGAAGAAGGUUUUCGGAUCGUAAAACUCUGUUGGUAGAGAAGAACGUUGGUGAGAGUGGAAAGCUCAUCAAGUGACGGUAACUACCCAGAAAGGGACGGCUAACUACGUG
Molecule: ribosomal RNA, 497 nt
Filed under: uncultured bacterium
Lineage: Bacteria
Description: partial 16S ribosomal RNA
Rfam family: Bacterial small subunit ribosomal RNA
Source: RNAcentral